GACGAACGCUGGCGGCGUGCCUAACACAUGCAAGUCGAGCGGGGUAGCCGGAAGGUGUAGCGAUACAGCGGAGGGGUACCUAGCGGCGAACGGGUGAGUAACGCGUGGGCAAUCUGCCCCCGGGGGCGGGAUAACAGACCGAAAGGCCUGCUAAUACCGCAUGAAGCCGUCCUAUCGCAUGAUAAGACGGUAAAAGGGGAAACCCGCCUGGGGAGGAGCCCGCGUCCCAUUAGCUAGUUGGUGGUGUAAAGGACCACCAAGGCGAUGAUGGGUAGCCGGCCUGAGAGGGUGAACGGCCACAUUGGGACUGAGACACGGCCCAGACUCCUACGGGGGCAGCAGUGGGGGAUCUUGCACAAUGGGCGAAAGCCUGAUGCAGCGACGCCGCGUGAGCGAAGAAGGCCUUCGGGUUGUAAGCUCUGUCUGGAGGGACGAACAAAAUAGACGGUACCUCCGGAGGAAGCACGGCUAACUACGUGCCAGCAGCCGCGGUAACUAGUCUACG
Molecule: ribosomal RNA, 505 nt
Filed under: uncultured bacterium
Lineage: Bacteria
Description: bacterial SSU rRNA
Rfam family: Bacterial small subunit ribosomal RNA
Source: RNAcentral